This 2902-nucleotide ribosomal RNA is filed under the name Escherichia coli. Its description in RNAcentral is "bacterial LSU rRNA". It matches the Rfam family "Bacterial large subunit ribosomal RNA". Lineage: Bacteria; Pseudomonadati; Pseudomonadota; Gammaproteobacteria; Enterobacterales; Enterobacteriaceae. The record is from RNAcentral.
UUAAGCGACUAAGCGUACACGGUGGAUGCCCUGGCAGUCAGAGGCGAUGAAGGACGUGCUAAUCUGCGAUAAGCGUCGGUAAGGUGAUAUGAACCGUUAUAACCGGCGAUUUCCGAAUGGGGAAACCCAGUGUGAUUCGACACACUAUCAUUAACUGAAUCCAUAGGUUAAUGAGGCGAACCGGGGGAACUGAAACAUCUAAGUACCCCGAGGAAAAGAAAUCAACCGAGAUUCCCCCAGUAGCGGCGAGCGAACGGGGAGCAGCCCAGAGCCUGAAUCAGUAUGUGUGUUAGUGGAAGCGUCUGGAAAGGCGCGCGAUACAGGGUGACAGCCCCGUACACAAAAAUGCACAUGCUGUGAGCUCGAUGAGUAGGGCGGGACACGUGGUAUCCUGUCUGAAUAUGGGGGGACCAUCCUCCAAGGCUAAAUACUCCUGACUGACCGAUAGUGAACCAGUACCGUGAGGGAAAGGCGAAAAGAACCCCGGCGAGGGGAGUGAAAAAGAACCUGAAACCGUGUACGUACAAGCAGUGGGAGCACGCUUAGGCGUGUGACUGCGUACCUUUUGUAUAAUGGGUCAGCGACUUAUAUUCUGUAGCAAGGUUAACCGAAUAGGGGAGCCGAAGGGAAACCGAGUCUUAACUGGGCGUUAAGUUGCAGGGUAUAGACCCGAAACCCGGUGAUCUAGCCAUGGGCAGGUUGAAGGUUGGGUAACACUAACUGGAGGACCGAACCGACUAAUGUUGAAAAAUUAGCGGAUGACUUGUGGCUGGGGGUGAAAGGCCAAUCAAACCGGGAGAUAGCUGGUUCUCCCCGAAAGCUAUUUAGGUAGCGCCUCGUGAAUUCAUCUCCGGGGGUAGAGCACUGUUUCGGCAAGGGGGUCAUCCCGACUUACCAACCCGAUGCAAACUGCGAAUACCGGAGAAUGUUAUCACGGGAGACACACGGCGGGUGCUAACGUCCGUCGUGAAGAGGGAAACAACCCAGACCGCCAGCUAAGGUCCCAAAGUCAUGGUUAAGUGGGAAACGAUGUGGGAAGGCCCAGACAGCCAGGAUGUUGGCUUAGAAGCAGCCAUCAUUUAAAGAAAGCGUAAUAGCUCACUGGUCGAGUCGGCCUGCGCGGAAGAUGUAACGGGGCUAAACCAUGCACCGAAGCUGCGGCAGCGACGCUGAUGCGUUGUUGGGUAGGGGAGCGUUCUGUAAGCCUGAGAAGGUGUGCUGUGAGGCAUGCUGGAGGUAUCAGAAGUGCGAAUGCUGACAUAAGUAACGAUAAAGCGGGUGAAAAGCCCGCUCGCCGGAAGACCAAGGGUUCCUGUCCAACGUUAAUCGGGGCAGGGUGAGUCGACCCCUAAGGCGAGGCCGAAAGGCGUAGUCGAUGGGAAACAGGUUAAUAUUCCUGUACUUGGUGUUACUGCGAAGGGGGGACGGAGAAGGCUAUGUUGGCCGGGCGACGGUUGUCCCGGUUUAAGCGUGUAGGCUGGUUUUCCAGGCAAAUCCGGAAAAAAAAGGCUGAGGCGUGAUGACGAGGCACUACGGUGCUGAAGCAACAAAUGCCCUGCUUCCAGGAAAAGCCUCUAAGCAUCAGGUAACAUCAAAUCGUACCCCAAACCGACACAGGUGGUCAGGUAGAGAAUACCAAGGCGCUUGAGAGAACUCGGGUGAAGGAACUAGGCAAAAUGGUGCCGUAACUUCGGGAGAAGGCACGCUGAUAUGUAGGUGAAGUCCCUCGCGGAUGGAGCUGAAAUCAGUCGAAGAUACCAGCUGGCUGCAACUGUUUAUUAAAAACACAGCACUGUGCAAACACGAAAGUGGACGUAUACGGUGUGACGCCUGCCCGGUGCCGGAAGGUUAAUUGAUGGGGUAAGCGCAAGCGAAGCUCUUGAUCGAAGCCCCGGUAAACGGCGGCCGUAACUAUAACGGUCCUAAGGUAGCGAAAUUCCUUGUCGGGUAAGUUCCGACCUGCACGAAUGGCGUAAUGAUGGCCAGGCUGUCUCCACCCGAGACUCAGUGAAAUUGAACUCGCUGUGAAGAUGCAGUGUACCCGCGGCAAGACGGAAAGACCCCGUGAACCUUUACUAUAGCUUGACACUGAACAUUGAGCCUUGAUGUGUAGGAUAGGUGGGAGGCUUUGAAGUGUGGACGCCAGUCUGCAUGGAGCCGACCUUGAAAUACCACCCUUUAAUGUUUGAUGUUCUAACGUUGACCCGUAAUCCGGGUUGCGGACAGUGUCUGGUGGGUAGUUUGACUGGGGCGGUCUCCUCCUAAAGAGUAACGGAGGAGCACGAAGGUUGGCUAAUCCUGGUCGGACAUCAGGAGGUUAGUGCAAUGGCAUAAGCCAGCUUGACUGCGAGCGUGACGGCGCGAGCAGGUGCGAAAGCAGGUCAUAGUGAUCCGGUGGUUCUGAAUGGAAGGGCCAUCGCUCAACGGAUAAAAGGUACUCCGGGGAUAACAGGCUGAUACCGCCCAAGAGUUCAUAUCGACGGCGGUGUUUGGCACCUCGAUGUCGGCUCAUCACAUCCUGGGGCUGAAGUAGGUCCCAAGGGUAUGGCUGUUCGCCAUUUAAAGUGGUACGCGAGCUGGGUUUAGAACGUCGUGAGACAGUUCGGUCCCUAUCUGCCGUGGGCGCUGGAGAACUGAGGGGGGCUGCUCCUAGUACGAGAGGACCGGAGUGGACGCAUCACUGGUGUUCGGGUUGUCAUGCCAAUGGCACUGCCCGGUAGCUAAAUGCGGAAGAGAUAAGUGCUGAAAGCAUCUAAGCACGAAACUUGCCCCGAGAUGAGUUCUCCCUGACUCCUUGAGAGUCCUGAAGGAACGUUGAAGACGACGACGUUGAUAGGCCGGGUGUGUAAGCGCAGCGAUGCGUUGAGCUAACCGGUACUAAUGAACCGUGAGGCUUAACCUU